UUGAAUGUACUGAAUUAAGGAAUUGGACUGGCAAUUAUAACCCUGGGUAUUGAGUACUGGUACUACAAGUACAAGAAACCUCUAUCAAGGGUCUCCUCUUCUGCUCAAAAUAUUAUUGAUAAAAAGGGACAUGCAUUUGACAAAUCUUACGGAGGUCGAGGAAGUGCAGAUGUGGUUCCUGUAGGGAACCCUUGGUAAUCAUAUCUUCGAAUGUUACAACCUUGGUAAUCAUAUUUUCGAAUUUUGCAAUUUGGUGAUCAAAUCUUCGAAUUUCACAUCCUUGGUAAAUACUGUCAUCGAAUUUGAAAUCCUUGCUGAUCAUAUCUUCGAAUUUUUCAUCCUCGUAAUCGUAUCUUCGAAUUGUAUAACCUUGGUAAUCAUAUCUUCGAGUUUUUCAUUUAAAGGAACUUGUUACUUGCCACAAACUCUAACGUUAAAGUUUGUAUAUCUUUACAAACUGAUAUCGUAGAUUCUUGAUAUUUCAAACUCUGAAUUCUGACAGAUUAGAUAGUCGUAGUUAGAAAUAUCAAUCAUCAGGUUAUACAGAUAUAUGUUUAAAAAUUUAGGGUUGUGCAAAAUAAUCAGUUCCUUAAUAAAAUACUAAAUUAUUAAAAAAUUUCAACUUUUUACGAUUAAAGUAAAAAUUAUUUUUAAACAUUUAUAUUUGACAUUGUGUUAAAUUUUGUAAUCGUCCUUAUUAAUAUGUAUAGCUAUUAAAAUGCAAAAAAAAAAAUUUUUUUUUAAUUCCUGCACAAUAUAUUGUAAAUAUAUGUAAAAACUAUAAAUCUGUAGAAUGUAAGAAAUGAUAUUUAUUCUCUAUAUCUAUAUUUAUGAUUCAUGUUAAAUAAUGAUGGUUUCCUUUUAUCUAAAAUAUAUCUGUAGCAAUCAAUAAAAAUGUCUUUCAACCAGUUAUAGCCAGGGAUUGGCCUCGUUUACAGGAACGGUCAUUCCGAAAAUUAACGAUUGCAUAAAAACGCGUUAUUAAAAAAUGGAACGAUCGAAAAUUAAUGAACGUGUCGAACGAAUAGUAGU
This is a long non-coding RNA of Eurytemora carolleeae, 1032 nucleotides long. RefSeq lists it as uncharacterized. The transcript has 3 exons. The record is from RefSeq and is a predicted model, not a curated record. Lineage: Eukaryota; Metazoa; Arthropoda; Copepoda; Calanoida; Temoridae.